Non-coding RNA from Pelobates cultripes (western spadefoot toad), 300 nucleotides. The record is from the annotation of a GenBank genome assembly. Lineage: Eukaryota; Metazoa; Chordata; Amphibia; Anura; Pelobatidae.
GUUUUGUGGUUGUCAUUCCCUGCACAAUGAGUUCCAGCUUAUUUGUUUCAUUGUGGAGACAUUUUGUUAAUAACCCUCCCUGCUCUUGUAUUGUCACCCAAACAAAAAUGUCUAUUUGAAUCUUACUUUUUAAAAUACUGUGAAAACAUGCAGUUUAAAUUGCAUAUUUUCCCUGAGUAAACACCUAAAAGCAUAGCUAGAGCUUUUGCCGCCCCUGAGUUUGCCGCCCCUAUCUAGAACAACGUCAUGUCCAGUGCAGUGGCGGACGUCCGUGUCUGCACCAGACAUACUUCUUUUAAG